GGCGGGCGAGGGUCCCGGCAGGUCCCGCCGCUGCGACUGGGGCGCUGCGCCGCCGUCGCCGCAGACGGUUAUGGUAAUGAGCGGCUCUGUCUAGCGAGGAGCGUGUGAAACCCGUCAAUCCUGUUUGCCAUUUCCCCGUGGAUUUCCGAGGAGAGGUUCUGCAGGAUGCCCCCAGGGACCAAGCAGUUACUCUCCCCUCGCCGCCCGCCCCCGCCGGCUCCCCUCCUGAGCUGCAUAUGUAAGAAAAAGCAACCUUGGUCCUGCUGCAACUUGAAUUGGCAACCCUUCCUCUGGGUGGGGAUCCUCCAGAGAAAACCUCCAGGAAAUAAAAAGUAAUAAAGGAGGUUGUCUUUGCUCAAGAGAAUGUAAUCUGAGCCCCAGAAUCAGAGUAUUUUGCAAAUAGUAAUUUUCCCCUGCAUUGGGCUCAAUUGGAGUUUGUUUUUUAAAACAUUAAUUCAUAACUUCUGUCUAGGGACCGCUCCGUAGCGGAGAUGGGUCAUUUCAGGUGCAGUGAAGGCAGAGGCUUGGAAUAGACCUAAUAAAACCGGGAGAAGGCACCUGCACGAAAGUGUCACAAAGACUAUAAUGUUUGUUUACUGCUACUACGCCAGAUGCGCUAAAUAUAACACUUCUUUAAAACAGUGAUCCUCCGACUGUGAAAAACCAAACCUCUGGCUGCCUGGCUCCCUAGGAAUCCAGGACCUGCACAGACUGAAAAUCAGGGAGGGAAGGAACAAGAUCAAGGAUGAGGAUUAGCAUCUGCAAAUUGAACUCUAUCUAAUUUGCAUGUUUAUUUCUUAGAAUUGUAAUUAAAUUUGUGUAAUAAAUGUUUUCCAUUUCAUUUGUACACUUAAAAUCUGGGUGACUGACAUGCAGUUAAGUGAAUUUCCUUUUUUUUUUUUUUAAAGCAAAUGCAGUUUAUUCAAUAAAGCAGCAAACAAAUAUUAAACAUAAUUAGAACUAAUCUGUUCCGAAGGUGUUUUUGUUGAACUUUGUACAUUAAAGACUCUCAGAGGUUUUGAGGGUAUUAGGAAGCUGAGAGACGGCAAUUAUGCUGAAAACAGACGAACCCAACAGCCUACCAGGAGCUUUAUUCCAUUUUUUCCAAAAGACAUUCCAGGGUUGCAUGCCUAAAAUUGGGAAUUGGGCAUCCAUCUUGGCUGUAUUCUGAACCAUAUUAAAUUGCAUUGGCUCAUGCUCCAUGUAGGUCAUUAUGAUGACAAUUUAAGAAUUGUAAAGAUGCCAUUUUGUAUAAUCAAUGGGAGUUGCAUGCGUCCAGAUUAAGGGUAGAAUAUAAUUUUCAUUUGAGUGGGGGAGCAGAGUAAGGACAGGCAAAGGGCAUUUAAAGCAGUUAAACUACUUAAAAAUCUAAAUCAGUAUCUAAAACUGGUUAUUGUCUAAGUCAAAUAAAGAACUAAAUGUGAGGGCUUGGAGGCAUGGCUUAUUAUGGUUUUUAUCUCCCUAUAUUAAAGUUUUAUAGCAUUUAAAGGACUAUGGGGAAAUCCCCACAUACACUUGGCUGUGUCAAAAUGCAUAAAACCAAAAGGAGCAAAUUAAGCAUAAAAUUGAGAAAUAACAUGAGACUAAGUAUCAGCAUGGGUGCAUUGGCAUCUUUGGAGCUUUGGCUCUGACAAAUGAGCCUUCUGGGAAAUUGGCAUUGCCCUUGGGUGGAGAAGACUCUUGGCUUUAAUGUUACAACAAAAUGACAUCACAACACGAAUCUCAAAUCAUUGUACCUCACAGCACACUUGCAGUUCUGAGUGUAACCUCAACCCUGUCCUGUUCGGAUCCAUUAGGUUAGCAUAUUUUACUGACAGCUUUCCCUGCCCUACUUUUAAUCCCAAGCUUAAUGUUUUCUGAGAUUCAGUGCCCAACUGUUGACAACGUGAACCUGUGUCUACAAGUAGAAAAGGCAGUCAAAGGUCUAUGGAAUGAGAAAUAUCAUUUAAAAAUUUAAAGGAAGGGGUGGCUAUGGCAUGAGAAAAGAACUGACUAUAAAUCAACAAUGAAAUAUUUGAAAUAAGUGAAUGUUAUUUAUAAUGAGGUACAAUAUUCAACUGAGAGCAAUGAUGUCAUCGUUUUGGGGGGUGUGUGUGUGUGUGUGUAUGAGAGACAGAGAGAGAGAAGUUCCAAGAUAGAAGUUUGGUUGUAAAACUUAAAAUACUUUGAGCUGCAAAUUUACUGAAGGCAGAGAUUGUUUUUCUUCAGUUAACAAAGAGAGUGCCAGACUUAAAACUGCUGAAACCCAUUUCACGAAACCUUUUUCUCAUUAGAUAGGGAGAUUUCACAAGUAAAAUUUGACUUCUUCAGAUUGCUGUGGACACCAUGCCCAUGUGGAUUAAUAAAAAGUCUGAAUUACUGGCUUUUUGAAAAAAAAAUGCAAGCUUUUUAUAGCAAAAGAAGGCAUCGACACUCAGUCUCCCCAGUUCCUCUUCUCCUGAUCUCAAACCUUUCUUUAUUAGACUUUCUUAUUCCAUUACUCCAUUGAAACCCCAUUCCAGCCCAUGUCACCAGUGACUUCCACAUUGC
This 2529-nucleotide long non-coding RNA is filed under the name Microcebus murinus (gray mouse lemur). RNAcentral describes it as "lncRNA (ENSMICG00000048272.1)". Lineage: Eukaryota; Metazoa; Chordata; Mammalia; Primates; Cheirogaleidae. The record is from RNAcentral.